GAGUUUGAUCCUGGCUCAGGAUGAACGCUAGCGGCAGGCUUAACACAUGCAAGUCGAGGGAUAACAGAGAAAAGCUUGCUUUUUUGCUGACGACCGGCGCACGGGUGCGUAACGCGUAUGCAAUCUACCUUUUGCUAAGGGAUAGCCCAGAGAAAUUUGGAUUAAUACCUUAUAGUAUGACGACUUGGCAUCAAGAUAUCAUUAAAGGUUACGGCAAAAGAUGAGCAUGCGUUCUAUUAGCUAGUUGGUGUGGUAACGGCAUACCAAGGCAACGAUAGAUAGGGGUCCUGAGAGGGAGAUCCCCCACACUGGUACUGAGACACGGACCAGACUCCUACGGGAGGCAGCAGUGAGGAAUAUUGGACAAUGGAGGCAACUCUGAUCCAGCCAUGCCGCGUGCAGGAAGACUGCCCUAUGGGUUGUAAACUGCUUUUAUACAGGAAGAAACACCUCUACGUGUAGAGAUUUGACGGUACUGUAAGAAUAAGGAUCGGCUAACUCCGUGCCAGCAGCCGCGGUAAUACGGAGGAUCCAAGCGUUAUCCGGAAUCAUUGGGUUUAAAGGGUCCGUAGGUGGAUAAUUAAGUCAGAGGUGAAAUCCUGCAGCUUAACUGUAGAAUUGCCUUUGAUACUGGUUGUCUUGAGUUGUUAUGAAGUGGUUAGAAUAUGUAGUGUAGCGGUGAAAUGCAUAGAUAUUACAUAGAAUACCAAUUGCGAAGGCAGAUCACUAAUAAUAUACUGACACUGAUGGACGAAAGCGUGGGGAGCGAACAGGAUUAGAUACCCCGGUAGUCCACGCCGUAAACGAUGGUCACUAGCUGUUCGGGUUUCGAUCUGAGUGGCUAAGCGAAAGUGAUAAGUGACCCACCUGGGGAGUACGUUCGCAAGAAUGAAACUCAAAGGAAUUGACGGGGGCCCGCACAAGCGGUGGAGCAUGUGGUUUAAUUCGAUGAUACGCGAGGAACCUUACCAGGGCUUAAAUGUGGUUUGACAGCUUUAGAGAUAGAGUUUUCUUCGGACAAAUCACAAGGUGCUGCAUGGUUGUCGUCAGCUCGUGCCGUGAGGUGUCAGGUUAAGUCCUA
This 1081-nucleotide ribosomal RNA is filed under the name uncultured Bacteroidota bacterium. RNAcentral's name for it is "bacterial SSU rRNA". It matches the Rfam family "Bacterial small subunit ribosomal RNA", at positions 9 to 1089 of the family's 1533-position model. The record is from RNAcentral. Lineage: Bacteria; Pseudomonadati; Bacteroidota.